CGGGGGGAGCAAGCGUUGUUCGGAUUUACUGGGCGUAAAGGGCGCGUAGGCGGCCACCGCAAGUCGACUGUGAAAUCUCCGGGCUUAACUCGGAAAGGUCAGCCGAUACUGCGGGGCUAGAGUGCAGAAGGGGCAACUGGAAUUCUCGGUGUAGCGGUGAAAUGCGUAGAUAUCGAGAGGAACACCUGCGGCGAAGGCGGGUUGCUGGGCUGACACUGACGCUGAGGCGCGAAAGCUAGGGGAGCGAACGGGAUUAGAUACCCCGGUAGUCCUAGCCUUAAACGAUGAAUGCUUGGUGUCUGGGGUUUUAUAGUCCCCGGGUGCCGUCGCCAACGCUUUAAGCAUUCCGCCUGGGGAGUACGGUCGCAAGACUG
RNAcentral lists this ribosomal RNA (374 nucleotides) under uncultured organism. RNAcentral's name for it is "bacterial SSU rRNA". It matches the Rfam family "Bacterial small subunit ribosomal RNA", at positions 526 to 896 of the family's 1533-position model. The record is from RNAcentral.